RNAcentral lists this non-coding RNA (297 nucleotides) under Candidatus Brevifilum fermentans. RNAcentral describes it as "Brevefilum fermentans T-box". It matches the Rfam family "T-box leader". Rfam says of the family: Uncharged tRNA acts as the effector for transcription antitermination of genes in the T-box leader family. T-boxes are found upstream of many aminoacyl-tRNA synthetase genes and some amino acid biosynthetic genes usually in Gram-positive bacteria. The record is from RNAcentral. Lineage: Bacteria; Bacillati; Chloroflexota; Anaerolineae; Anaerolineales; Anaerolineaceae.
CUAAAGACUGAGAUGAGGACUAGUAGGCACUGAAACGGUGUCACAGAAAGCAGCGUUUGAUGAGAAGCUGCACACACGCCUGUGUUGAAUGGACCUCGGAGUUUUUGAGGUGAACAGCAAUCAGUAGCUUCAAACGGACACACCGCCGUUAUCAGGGUGAAGGGUAUACGUAGAAUUUCUGCUGUACCUGAGUAAUGAGUGAGGCUGGCCUGGAUCCCGUUGCAACACCGACGGGUUUUUUGCUUAAACAGGUCGCCUAAGUUGGGUGGCACCACGGACAAAACGUUCGUCCCAAUC